RNAcentral lists this transfer RNA (72 nucleotides) under Thermoactinomyces sp. DSM 45891. RNAcentral's name for it is "tRNA_Arg_CCG". It matches the Rfam family "tRNA". Rfam says of the family: Transfer RNA (tRNA) molecules are approximately 80 nucleotides in length. Their secondary structure includes four short double-helical elements and three loops (D, anti-codon, and T loops). Further hydrogen bonds mediate the characteristic L-shaped molecular structure. tRNAs have two regions of fundamental functional importance: the anti-codon, which is responsible for specific mRNA codon recognition, and the 3' end, to which the tRNAs corresponding amino acid is attached (by aminoacyl-tRNA synthetases). tRNAs cope with the degeneracy of the genetic code in two manners: having more than one tRNA (with a specific anti-codon) for a particular amino acid; and 'wobble' base-pairing, i.e. permitting non-standard base-pairing at the 3rd anti-codon position. Lineage: Bacteria; Bacillati; Bacillota; Bacilli; Caryophanales; Thermoactinomycetaceae. RNAcentral also lists the same sequence under 1 other name. The record is from RNAcentral.
GCGCCUAUAGCUCAGGGGAUAGAGCGUUGGUCUCCGGAACCAAGUGCAUAGGUUCGAAUCCUAUUAGGCGCG